AUUUUUAAACUGUCACCGACUCUAUAUCUCUCUCACUCUUUUUCUUUUUUUUUUUAAUUUUUAAUUUUUUCUAAAAUUGUAUUCACUGUCUCACUACUGUUUCAGAUGAGAUGAGAUGAGAUGAGAAAUAGAGAAAGUCACGCAACAACCUUCACCAUGCUACAGUUCGCCGUUCGUCGUUCGUCGUUGUGAAUCGCGUUGGACGUUCACCGUUCGUUGUUCACCGUUCACCGUUCGCUGUCCCCCGCGUCGUCCUUUCUCUUCCCCUCUAGUGCAAACCUUAAUUCCUCAUCCAUCGACAUUUUUUCUCUUCCAACCUCAAUACUAAACACUGAUGACUGAGCUCAAAGUGGUUUGAAAUGAAAGCUGAAUGAUGUCUUGUAGGAGUCUAUUGUGCUUUUCUUCUUGCUUGCUAUGACUACAAUAACGAAGAACUUCAAAGUAUUUGUAAGAUUGGAACGGGAUUUACUGAAGACGUGCUCGAAGCGCGUUUUAAAAGUCUUGGUUCUCAAGUGAUUCCUGAGCCAAAGUCAUACUAUCGAUAUGGAAAUACAAUGAAGCCUGAUGUCUGGCUUGAAACUAGUGAGGUUGAAGCAAUGUUUAUCUGUGUUCUUUGAGCACUACCUAUGUCUCUGUGCUAAUCAUAAGGCAAGCAUAGUGACAAAUCAUAUCUUUGGUGCUGUAAAUUAAAUAUCAUUCUUUAUUUUUUGCUUAACUUUUAAAUGUUGUGACUAAUGCCCUGGUUAUUGUUUCAAUAAUGCAGAGUUGCAUAUCCAAGGCUUUCAUUCCAGUAAUGCAUUCAAUGUGGCCAGGAAUUUUUGGGAUUUCAGAAUGAUCUCCUUUUAUGGUGUCCCAGAUGCGUAAGCGUGCAGUUCAAGCUUCACGUUUUAUGCUGUAGAUGAUGCAGGCUCCCUUAUAUAUUAAAGAGACUCAACCAGAGAGUGAAAAUGGAAGUACAGAAAUGCCACAAGUCAUUGAUAGUUAUGUAGAGGUUCUAUGUGAUUGUAGUGAGGAGGGUCUUGCACUACGCAUUGCCAAGUAUAUAACUAAGAAGUGUAUAUAAUAUAGAAUAAUCCUUGGUUGCUUCUUGAAUCUUGAUCAGGGUAGUUGGAAACCAUCUUUUGUUUGUUAUUGGUCUAAGCUUUACUAAUCCAUCAUAUGAUGCUGCCU
Non-coding RNA from Arachis ipaensis, 1170 nucleotides. The record is from RefSeq and is a predicted model, not a curated record. NCBI's taxonomy places the organism in Eukaryota, Viridiplantae, Streptophyta, Magnoliopsida, Fabales, Fabaceae.